UACGGAGGGUGCAAACGUUGCUCGGAAUUACUGGGCGUAAAGCGCGUGUAGGCGGGCCGGAAAGUCGGGCGUGAAAGCCCUGGGCUCAACCCAGGAACUGCACUCGAAACUUCCGGUCUAGAGUGGUGGAGAGGGAAGUGGAAUUCCUGGUGUAGAGGUGAAAUUCGUAGAUAUCAGGAGGAACACCAGUGGCGAAGGCGGCUUCCUGGACACCAACUGACGCUGAGACGCGAAAGCGUGGGGAGCAAACAGG
RNAcentral lists this ribosomal RNA (253 nucleotides) under uncultured bacterium. Its description in RNAcentral is "partial 16S ribosomal RNA". It matches the Rfam family "Bacterial small subunit ribosomal RNA", at positions 524 to 776 of the family's 1533-position model. The record is from RNAcentral.